GAUGAACGCUGGCGGCGUGCCUAAUACAUGCAAGUCGAGCGAACAGAUGAGGAGCUUGCUCCUCUGACGUUAGCGGCGGACGGGUGAGUAACACGUGGAUAACCUACCUAUAAGACAGGGAUAACUUCGGGAAACCGGAGCUAAUACCGGAUAAUAUAUUGAACCGCAUGGUUCAAUAGUGAAAGACGGUUUUGCUGUCACUUAUAGAUGGAUCCGCGCCGCAUUAGCUAGUUGGUAAGGUAACGGCUUACCAAGGCAACAAUGCGUAGCCGACCUGAGAGGGUGAUCGGCCACACUGGAACUGAGACACGGUCCAGACUCCUACGGGAGGCAGCAGUAGGGAAUCUUCCGCAAUGGGCGAAAGCCUGACGGAGCAACGCCGCGUGAGUGAUGAAGGUCUUCGGAUCGUAAAACUCUGUUAUUAGGGAAGAACAAAUGUGUAAGUAACUAUGCACGUCUUGACGGUACCUAAUCAGAAAGCCACGGCUAACUACGUG
Molecule: ribosomal RNA, 497 nt
Filed under: uncultured bacterium
Lineage: Bacteria
Description: partial 16S ribosomal RNA
Rfam family: Bacterial small subunit ribosomal RNA
Source: RNAcentral